UGAAGCUGGAACUCAUUUCAUUGU
This 24-nucleotide unclassified non-coding RNA is filed under the name Mus musculus (house mouse). RNAcentral's name for it is "oocyte_clustered_small_RNA1971". The record is from RNAcentral. Lineage: Eukaryota; Metazoa; Chordata; Mammalia; Rodentia; Muridae.